GAGGGUAUAGCUCAAAUGGUAGAGUGCAUGCUCAGCAUGCAUGAGGUCCUGGGUUUAAUCCCCAGUACCUCCU
This 73-nucleotide transfer RNA is filed under the name Camelus bactrianus (Bactrian camel). It matches the Rfam family "tRNA". Rfam says of the family: Transfer RNA (tRNA) molecules are approximately 80 nucleotides in length. Their secondary structure includes four short double-helical elements and three loops (D, anti-codon, and T loops). RNAcentral also lists the same sequence under 2 other names. The record is from Rfam by way of RNAcentral. Lineage: Eukaryota; Metazoa; Chordata; Mammalia; Artiodactyla; Camelidae.